Aedes albopictus (Asian tiger mosquito) is the source of this 5269-nucleotide long non-coding RNA. RefSeq lists it as uncharacterized. NCBI's taxonomy places the organism in Eukaryota, Metazoa, Arthropoda, Insecta, Diptera, Culicidae. The transcript is spliced from 2 exons. The record is from RefSeq and is a predicted model, not a curated record.
UACAAAAUAUCAGGAAAAACAGGCUUUGCCCCCCCAAUAAUUUGACCACAGCCACCACGAAUACGAACCGAACCAUGCAAGAGCCAUGCUGAUCGGUAUAUUCGUUCUUGAGUUUUGUUGCCUCAAAGGAACUUCAAACUCAUUUUUAUAUAUGUAGAUGUAUACUCUCCUAUGUGGUAAUGAUAAUUUAGCAAGAAAGUAUCACGUUAUAUGAAUUGCUUAGUAAACUACAAAUGAUUGAAAAUUGAUUCAAUCUCACCCCUUAGAGGGGGUGAGAAUGGGUCAAAGUAUUCGAAAUCACCUAUCUAAGAAUAUAAAUUAAUUUUAUUGAUCACAUGUAGUAAACCUACUUAAAACACAAUGUUAUGACGAUUAAAAGCUUAGGAAAUUUUAAAAGAUCAUUAAUUCACCUAAAAAGGGCUAAUACAACCGAAAAAAAUGGUUGAAAUUUGAUAAAAUAACGUUUGUAUACUGUAUCAUCAUUUUUAGCCAUCAUAAUCAUCCUCAUAAAGAGUUUCAACCUUCAUGAGAGGAGAGGAGAUUACAAUGAGGGAGGGGCGAAGAAAGAAUGAAAGAUUGAUUGUAAAAAAAAACAGGCUAGCUUUUGUAUACUGCAUAAGAAAUGUUUAACCAAACCCUCCGUUAUAAACUCUUAUGUACAUGAUCAUUGGCCUCUAUAUUGCUAAAGCAAAUCACUCCAUCUCAAGAUAGAGGGUCGUUCAAAUGUUAUGUUAAGUCUAUUUUGUGAGCUUACGAUAUUGUAGUACACUAAAGAUUAGCUGAUGAUAAGAGGAGCUGUCCACAUGCAUGGGUGUAUUGUUAUAAAUGAUUUUAGGCACUAAACGUAUUAACACACUCGUUUGACGCUUCUCGACAUAUUUUUGAAAGAAAGCGUGCUUUAGUGAAAAUACGGUAAACAUGGCACCACUCUAACGUCAAAUGAGGACUGGAUAACAAGUUGAAUUUUUAGUUAAGGUUAUGUGCACUCGAUAACUUGCUUGACCCAAUCUCACCCCUAUUCUUAAUAUUUAGACAUGGGGUCGAAAAUAUUAAGUUAUUAAAUAAAAAGAGCAAUGACAGCCCGCUUUUUUCAUUACAUCAACCAGGUACCUACAGCUAACCACUUAGGGCCUGUCCAUAAACUACGUAGACUCUUAGGGGGGGACGGGGGGGUCUGGCCAAAGUCUACGCUCCAUACAAAUUUCGAAAAUUUUGUAUGAACAAAAGUCUACGAGGGGGGAGGGGGGGGGUCUGAGAUGGCCCAAAAAAAGUCUACGUAGUUUAUGGACAGCGCUUUAUAAGAAAAUUUAUAAUUAGGUACACGGUAAAAAAAUCUGCACUCUGAUAUGAACUGAUUGGCACUUGAAUUCGCACUACUGUCUAAUCAGUUUGUUAUUAAUUAAAUAACAUUUGAAAAACAACAUUCAAUGUCUCUUCAAUUUAAAUGGAAAUUCACUUCGAUUUGUGGUUGACAAUGUUUUGAUUUCAAAACUAGAAUUAAAAAAAAAAUGUUCACCACACCCGUAUUCGAUACCAGGACCUUGAGAUUCACGAUCAUCUGUUUUCCCACUACACUACUUCAAAUCUGUUAGAGAGGUGCGUAUCGAAGCGAAACACUUUCUACCUCCUGUCAUCUAUAUUUACUUUCAUGUCCAAAACAGUCAUUACCAAACCAAUAGCUUUUCACUUUGGAUCGUACUGCUUUAUACAGUAGUGCAAAUCGAAGUGAUUUUCAGUUAAUUUCUCCGGUGGGUUUGUUUUGGUUCUGAAAUCAACACUGACAGCAUUGUGAUUUCAAAGGAAAAUCAUUGCUGAUCAUGUUGAUUGGGAUGUUGAAUAGUUAAUGGAUUUUUCCCUUACAUCGAGCGUGCAGAAUUUUUACCGUGUACUUGUGUUAAACAUUACGAAGGAGAAAUUUUUUCAGAGUGAUUUACUAGUAGCUUCAUCAUAUAAGUUUAGCCACAAAUUUAACAAAAAACGAUUAUUGUAAAACAUCUUAUUCUGCAUCAUGACGCGUAAAAACAUCUUCCCUUUGAAAUAAUAUAAAGUUUUCAAUAUAAAUUAGCGAUAGUUAUUGAUCUAUUUCAAAUUUUAUGUUUCUCCGUUUUGACCCAAUCUCACCCCCAGACCCAUUGUCACCCCCAUCGACGGAACUAAAACAUUAAUUUUUAAAACUAACUCAAAAACAUAUUGAUUUCUACAAUACCCAUUGAAGAGCCCCCCGUUCCGCCGUCGAGAACAUAAACAAAACUCUCAAGUUCCAGCUGCAGCACCAAACAAGUUUUCCUCUUGCAAAAAAGUUUCACCAAAAGUUUCCACGAAAUUCCAUUGAUUUCGGGAGCGUAUGUUAUCUACAUGAUGUUGGCAUUGAAAGUGCCACGCAGGAAGUGGGUUUUACUAGAGAAAGAAGGGAUUUUGUAAAUUUAAUUGGAAAACAAAAAUUUCUGUAGGGCCGACCUGCCACAAAAAACAAAAUUUUUUACAUUUGUUUCUAAUAUAACCUGUCAGAAGAUGCAUGUUUGUUUCAAAAAUGGAUUGAAUUUGCUUCAAAUGUGACGUUCGAUUUGCUCCAAACGGUUUUAUUUUUGUUGCCAGAACAAAUUGACAAUUUAUUUGAGUUUACCUGAAAUAUUUUUGAUUUUACAAUGCUUUUUCCUGAGUGUUAUAACAGCCUGCAAUUUCAAAAACGUCUUUGGAACGUCUUCCAUGUAAUUACAAUAGUGGUCGAAACAACAACUGAUAUGCUCUCAAUAAGGAAACAAAAUUUCGAACAAUAAGAGAAUUAAUCUUCGAUAUGACGUCAUUUAUUAAUUAAUUUUGACUAUACCUGAAUGUAAUCAAUACACUUUGAGCCAUGGUCUUGUUUUGACAGUUAUGCCGGUUAUGCACGAUGGAAACAAAAUGGGCAGAAACAAAAUAAAUUGAGUCGAUUUUUCACGCCAAAAAUUUUUCCCUUUUCGUGUAGUCAAUUUGUUCUGAGAUGCCCUUCUCUUCUCUGAUUGUGGUGAACACUCGCAGAUGUGAUGCAGGUAUUUAUCAAAAGAUGCCUGCGGUACAUAAAUCUUGGAUGGAAGCCUCACAACUGGGUCUAUAAUGCUGAACUCUGUUAUACACCAUGAAAAGCCUAAAAUAACAGAAAUGAAUAAAAUGUAUUUAUAUGGUAUUUUCGUAUUCACCGUUCUGACCAAAGUGGUGCUUUUACAUCAAUAUUGUAUGACGAUAAAGUGAAUGAAUGAAAAUAUUUGGUAGCGGUUGCGCACAAAAAUUUUUUUGGUAAAAGCUUUUCUUUUCAGGAAUUUAGAGUUUAGAUACCUCUCGGCAUACAAAAUUAAAUGAAUUUACUCCAGCUGUGAACACGCGCCAUGCGGGUCAUUCGGAGGAAAGCGAUAUAAUCGAAAUCGGUAAACAGGAGGUGGUACACUGAAGUUCAACAGGAUAUCGCAUCUAUGGUAGGACCCUUGGUAGGCCCAGAUUCUCAUGAAUAAGUAGUCUCAAUAAAAAAAUAAGAUCAUUGAUUUUCUUGGCUAAAGAGUAUCUUCAUACCUCACUCUAGCUAUACGAAUGCGAAAUUAAUCAAUACUAAACAAAGCCAUACAUUAAUAAGAUAAACUGGGGAAAACCACUGUAAUGGACAUUGUUUGGUAUUAACACUUCGCAUAAAGUUUACUGAUAAGAAAAAAACAAAAAUAAACAUCAUGCGAACAAUUUGGUUAGUUAUACCGCUUUGCUUGUCUCCUUCUGUUGUGGCGAAAGUGAUAAGCAAAUACGUCUACCCUGACGAUUGAAUCCGCAAUUCCGCAGUUAAUAUAAGCAGUACAACUGUUUCAAGAUUUGCGAACUAAAUUGAAACAGAACAGCCAGAAGCCAAAUCUCAUAUUAUUCAUGAAACGAAUAUUAAUCAUCACGCAAUUGCUAUUUUUGGAACCAUCGUUUAGAUAUGCUAUCAUAGGUAUUACGUCUUUUCGAAUACCAAUGUGAAUAUCUGUCAAUUGCUAAAAUUUUAAAAAUGCCAUUCAUUCUGCUGCAAGUAAACAAGUAACGAGUAAAGUUUUCCUCCAGGAUAUUUUGAUUGAACUUGAGAUGUAUGCUUUUUAGAAUUUGAGUGGAAUUUACGAAUGACAUCACUGCUGUCUAUUCCCUAACACAUUUGCCCUUUAUAAGCUCUUCAUGUAUUUCUAGGAUGGUGCUGAAAUCACUGUUUAUUUAUAGAGGUACAUUAGCAUUAAAGUGUCUCGAGUAUACCAAAGUGGCGAAUCCUGGUCGUUUUGACAGGUCUCCUGCUCGAUUGGAACUAUGGGGAUGACAGCAAAUCGGCUGUUCCAAUUUUGACGUUUCUCCUCUUUGUUAUUCCAGACUCGUUAAUUAGCACAUACUCUAUGUACACCGUACACCCCCGGUGGUUUGACCGCUUUUAAUCGGAACUCUUUUAAGUUUGACACCCGCUAAUAUGCACACUAAGGUGGCCCACACUUAUAUGAAAAACAAAAAUCUCGAAAAAUACCAAGUCUUACCUCCUAAAUCAGUUGUUUUGGACUCCCAGAAGCUACGUUCAAAAUUUGAGCAAAAUCGGUUGAGCCUAAGGGGGCGCUCAAAACGCUUUAAGUUUGUAUGGGAAAACUUGGCCAAAUGUAUGCAGAAAUUUUAAGUUUUCGAAUUUUGCCGCUAGGUGGCGCUGUAAGCAUUCAAUAAUCAAACCCUUUGGUAUUAUUGUAGGUGACUAUAUGCCAAACAAGUUUGUCGAAGACCGCAAAGUGAUCCAACGUCUGUGAAAAAAGUUAUACCCUAGGAAAAGUGAGGAUAAACUUUAUUUUUAUUUUUCCAAUACAUGUAAAGGAAUAAUAUCAAUAAUAAAAUCUCAAUACUUUGCCUCACUUUGGCUAGGGUAUAACUUUUUUCACAGCCGUCGGAUCACUUCGCGGUCUUCGACAAAGUUCUCUGGCAUAUAGUCACCUACAAUAAUACCAAAGGGUUUGAUUACUAAACGCUUACAGCGCCACCUAGCGGCAAAAUUCGAAAACUUAAAAUUUCUGCAUAUAUUUGGCCAAGUUUUCCCAUACAAACUUCAAGCGAUUUGAGCGCCCCCUUAGGCUCAACCGAUUUUGCUCAAAUUUUGAACGUAGCUUCUGGGAGUCCAAAACAACUAAUUUAGGAGGUAAGACUUGGUAUUUUUCGAAAUUUUUGUUUUUCAUAUAAGUGUGGGCCACCCUAAUGCACACAGUUCAAGCUAAAAGUGGUUCAAACGUAUUCCAAAACAUGAAACAUAGUGUAA